AUGUUCUCCUCGCAGUCGCUCAGUCGCGUCAACAACAUCAGAACCUAUCUGGUGAACGCGCAAAAGGGCAACAAGAGCGUCGCCACCUACUUCGCCGAGAUGCGCGGCUUCGCAGAUGAACUGGCCGCCGCCGGGAAGCCUCUCCAGGACGAUGAACUCAUCUCCUACAUCCUCCACGGCCUCGACAUGGAUUACCAGCCGCUCGUCUCCGCCCUCGACGCCCGAACCUCCCCGGUAUCCCUCGAUGAGCUCUUUGCAAUGCUUAGUAAUUUUGAUCAGAGGGUGGCACAGUACCAGGGAUCGGGCGGCUUCAAGUCGUCGGCUAACGCAGCAGUGCGUGGGCGCGGUGGCUACUCCCGUCAUCGUGGCCUGCCUCGCUCCAAGGGCAAGCAAGGGAGCGGCGGCAGCAGCGGCGGG
RNAcentral lists this ribosomal RNA (417 nucleotides) under Triticum aestivum (bread wheat). RNAcentral describes it as "partial small subunit ribosomal RNA". The record is from RNAcentral. Lineage: Eukaryota; Viridiplantae; Streptophyta; Magnoliopsida; Poales; Poaceae.